Molecule: long non-coding RNA, 5377 nt
Organism: Pelodiscus sinensis (Chinese soft-shelled turtle)
Lineage: Eukaryota; Metazoa; Chordata; Testudines; Trionychidae
Source: RefSeq, a predicted model, not a curated record
CAAGAUGAAGAGAGGCGGUGAGCACGAGAGAAGGACACGAACCACUUUUAUGAAAGCGAAUCCCCGGAGUCCCUUGCACAAGAGGGGAAACGUCUCCCGGCCUUACACCGAGCAGUAACGUCGCCUGACCUCCAGGAAGUUACCACGGCCGUUCUGGAGGCGAUCUACCUCCAGCCUAUUUACAAAUACAAAGUGAUAAUAUAUACACCUCUGAUGUAUCUUACAAACCUCCAGCCAACAUGAACACCUUUUUGCCUUUAUAGUGUGUCUAUUACUAUACUACGGAAACUGCUAAUUUUAUUCUCCGCUGUUUCAUGCAGACGGUAGCAGGGUGAGAAAGCUAAAUAUUUUAUUCAGUACUUAUUUGGAAAAAGCGCAUGUAUUUGUAUCUCCGGCGACUGAUGCAGCAUGCACUUAUCUUACUAAGUCACGCUAAAAGUACAAUCUCACCUUUUCAUAUCAAAACAAGUCAUGCACACACCAUGCUUACAAAUAAUGUAAAGCGAUUGUCUAAAACCAGUUACAUGUUCCUCUUAUUUCUCCCCAUAUUCUUAAUGUUUGAUUAGCUAAUAAAAACCUAAUACAAAAAUAUGAACAAACUUGUGCGUUUUCUGAUUAAAUUUUGGACAAGGCAGAAUUAAAUUGUCUAGGUUUUCCUACAAAGCAUCAUCAUACAUAUGGCUGCCACGUAUUUGAUUUGUUUUUGUUAAACAAACUAAUAAUAUACCAUUAAAAGAAAUUCAGCUAUUCCCCCGUUUAGACCAUAUUUUAUUUAUAAAUCUGAGAGACAGCACGUGGACCGUUUUGUUCAAUAUCUGUGUCACAUUAUUUAACCUAACAUCAAAAAACAUUUCCCAAAAUAUAUAUACGCUAAAUUCUAUAUUGUUUCCUUAUGAUUUUUUAUAAUCUUCUAAUGUGCAAUAAAAAUACGAUUGAGACACAUUUCUGAACUAUCAUAAAAUAUAUCACCAAAAUUACUAAAGGAAUAUAAAGCAAUAAUACAUCUUAAUUGGAUAGAAAUAAGGUCAAGGCCUUUCUCGUUCAUUUACAAUUUAGAGUGAACAAAUAGAAUUCUGCUAAGUAAAAGCUAUGUUUAAUUAUUAUUGAUGUACUGUAGAAUUUGCAGCUCCUUAUUAUAAGCAAUCAUGCCGUUUGUCUCCUAAAAUCCUGGUUUUAUUUUAUAUUGAGAUAAUUAUUUCACGGAACAGUUUAAAACAAGAAGGCGUUUCCCUUACAAAAAUCUAUGCAGUGUAUAUAUUAUAGUAGCAAAUAAGGACAAGCAAUUGUCGCUAACAUAGUAAUAGGAAGGCUCCCAAAACUUUAUGGUAGGGAAUAUUAAAUACAGAAAAGCUAAAUAUGGUUUUCAUCUGCCCCUUCAACAUUAAAAAAUAAGUGUAUGGGAACACCCAUGCACCCACUGUUCCUAUAUGUGUGCGCAAAUAUUUAGUAUAUAUAUAUCCCGCAUCUUAACCCUACGCAUUUACAAUUCUACUAUGAAGUGUCUCCUUUCUGCGUACUAAUCUGUGCAUAACUUUGGAUAUUCUCUCUGUUACUUGUUUAAUGCUAAGUGUGUUGUUUCUCACAAAUAUUCCAAUGUGAGCUAAACGGUCACAUCCACAAAUGUGCAAACAGCAAUCCCUGUUGGGUUUCAAUCCAUAUUCCAAGGGGAGGCAAUUCACUCCGUAUUGGUGCUUUAUUUGCCCUCUAUCAUUGUCCAUUUGCUUAUGUUUGAUCUUUUCUUUCUGUUCCUUCUGAGCAUAUUGUAAAAACAAGAAUAACAUGGAAAUGCGACGGGGAUGGAGAAAGAGACAGGUUCCCCCGGGCCCGCCUGAGGAGACUCUCAGCAGCGCCACCCUCCGGUCCCAGGAAGAAGCACUGCCAUGUUUCAAAAAUCUUGUUGCAAAGGACAAACGACUGGUUAUUUUGCCCAGUAAAGCACCAGAAUUAACAGAAAUCAUGCCAUGUGAGUCACAGCGGUGAGGCAUGACGUUAAGCCACCCAAUAAACACGAACACCGGAUUGAAUGCGGAUCCACUGAUAUUAACCUAUAUGUGACAAACAUCAGAGUUAAGUUAAAUCUUCGAAACAAACAAAACUAUGAAAUCAGCAGGCGAGAACAAGGGAGGAAAACGUGCCGUUAAAGAAACAAAAGGAUAAAAGCACUGGAUUACAAUCCGCUUUUUAAAACGGUCACACUGUAAAUAAAAGAUUUAUCUUGAAACAAAAUCCACAUAGAAGAAGAGAUGAAGCAGAAACAGGAAAAUCCUAUUACUCUAAUUUCACACAAAACCGCACACCAAUGUCAAUAAAACAAAUAAUCCAACGAAAAGCCCGAUGUUGUCAGAUCGCAGGGUGCAGCACCCGUUUCUUUUAAAUACAGGACAGACACAACACAAAUUGUGAAAGCCUGAAUCCUCCUUUCUCACUCCCAGCAUGUACUUCGAUUAAUGUAAAGAGCUUCUGAUUUCCACGAAGAAACCGGUAAGUACCAAGACGAAAUGCAAUUUUAUGGACGGAUCUAGACAUAAUAGAACCACUUCGGGACUUGGCAGCAUUGACUGAAAUAUAAACAGCGAUGAAAGGGCCCAGCAUAUUUCUGGGGGCAAAAUAGAUAGCCUCGUGCAUUUUAACACCUCUCCUGCCAGCCCAACAACUGGAAGCUCUGUGUUUUGAAAGUAUGCCUCUGACGCAGAUAGCCAUUCUCGAUACUGGCUUUGAUUUAAGGGUUGAGCUCUCAGUCGCUCAGCAGGAGUUCACGAACAGGUGAGAUUUGAUAAGGUUGCAUUUACUUUCCUCUCUUUUGGGAUAAAUGUACUUGCCUAGACAGGUAAGAACACUUUAUUGGGUCAACAGUGGCUUCUAGUCUUUUCCUCGUGAACUUUUCUUGCCUCGGAUUUUGUCAGUCGAGUAGUUUUUCCUUAACUAAUGAUCUGCCUCGAAAUGAAGUGUCUUUCCCCCCUUACUCCUGCUGGUUUUGUUUAUCCCGCUAACCUGCAAAAAGAAUCGUAUUCCUCUUAAAGUAGAUUUUAAAUGUAGUGUAUUGUGAAUCACUUACUAAGUGACAUAUAACGACACUAAAAUGGUUCCUGAUCCCAUCCACACGGUCUGGACUCUUUUUCCUUCUGAAUUGACUCCUUUAUCUCCUGUGGUGUCUACAGGAAAAAGCCCAUUUCAAAUAAAACAAUGCAUUUGAAAAAUGAAUCUCUAUUCAGCUAUUCAAAUGAGUCGAUGUUUCUACCUUUAAUUUCAAUCUAAUGCAAGAUGCAGGAUUAAAGCAGUACUGUUGUCAACUCCCAGACGCUGACAAUACAAACAAUCUAGUCACUCCUUUAAAGAGGUACUAUACAAAAGUAAAUGGAGGACAAAUUAUAUGAGAAAUUCUACAAAAAUGUUAAUAUUUUUGAAACUAUGUGUUAUUAAUGUUGAGUAAUUAACUAUACCCAGAUCAGGAUUCUGGAGAAUUGCCAGGAAGUCAAUUUAUAAAUUUGUGUUAAUUUAUAAAAUUAACACAAAUGUCACCUAGGAAUUCGAGUGUUUUCGCCUCCACCCUUCUCUCCUACCCCCAUUUUUUGUCGCGCCAGGUGUGUGACUGAUAGAUUGUCCGAAUGGAUCUAGAGUAUGUUUUCCUGAUAGAGGAAGCAAAGAAUCUGUAGCUCAGCCGCACUACAGUUCUUUCCAUCAGCUGUACUAGGGGUUCCCGAGAUCUUUAUUUUGCAAGUUACAGGAGCACUGAUAAGUUAAUCGCCUACACCUGACUCGAUCCUGCUGCUAUUGCAGUCAGUGAAAACAGGAUCCGGUCCAUCAGAUUUAUGAACUAUUGAGGAGGAAGGGGAAAGACCACAACACAGCUAAGAAGGCGCUCAGGAUCGGUCCCUAACAACUCCGGAUUCUAUAAUUGCCUGAUUAUGAUAACCGAGCCCUGUUACAAAGUUCUUUUACACAAUCACAGGAGAUAUCGCUCUGUGCAUUGUCAUAGCGAUGCUGCACUGCCAGGAUUUUUUGUUGGUUUGUUUUUUUGGUUUUGGUCCCAUAAUUUGUAUUGAUGUGAUAGAAUCCAUUAUUUUAUGCGUGAGAAUACAUUUCCUUACAUCAUUCAAUUCCUGCUCUAAAACAGAUUAGAAAAUAUCUGUGCACUAAAACCAGGUAAGGAGGAAAAAAUCUUUAAAAUUAAAAUGACAAAUAAAUACUGUCCAAUCAUUGCUUUUGGCCACAAAGACAAUUGGAUAAUGAGAAAAUGUAUGUUUUCUUUGUUUAAAGCAACAUAUUUUUGUUAAAUAGUUUAUAAUGCAGGUAAACUAUGUAAUGCAUACUGUAAGUUAAUUUUUGUGAAUGCUGCUAGAUAUAUACAAGCUGUUUGGAUAGUUCAAAUUGUCAGGAUGCCCACAUUAUACAUGGUCUUGUGUGGAUCAUUGAAGUAUGGAGACAGACCUAUUAAAAUAUAUUGUUUUUUCCCAUCAGUGUCAAAAAGAAAGCAUUUAUUUUGAAUGUUGGGUGCAAUAGUUAUAUUAUAAUUUAUGGAAUCUAUAAAAAUAAACAUGUAGCUUGUAUAUUGGUUGCCCUGUACCCAUUUUCACCAAUCCAUUGUUCAAAAACACUUUGUUGACUUUGAAAAGUUACCAGAGUCAUAACUGUUUGCAAUGUUGCUGUAGCUUUGGUGGUCUCCGGAUAUUAGAGACAAGGUGAGUGAGGUCAUAACUUUUAUGGACAAGCUUCUGUUGGUGAAAGAGACAAACUUUCACCAAGGAGCUCUGUGGGAGCUGGAAAGAUAGUCUGCUUCACCUACAGACAGACUCUGGUCCAGUGAAAGGUAUUACCUAACCUUCCUUGUCUCUGGAGUCAUAGUAACAUACUAGCAGUAGCUAAGUAGUGAAUUUAGGUAAAACAUACACAAAUCCCUAUAGUUUCCUACUUGUGGAAUCCAACACAAACAACAAACAUGACCUUUCAGGGUUUAGGUGGGGCUUUCAGCAUAGAAGAAAGGAAGUGAAAAAACUGUUAUUGAACUGGAUCUUUAGCUCUAACAAGGGACCUGUUAAAUUGACAAUAUAUGUAGUUCUCCAGGCAAAAAUUUGAAUUUCUUGGAGAAAGGUUGACUCAACUUCAAAGGCCAUAAUAAAUCAAAUAAUUCCAUACCACAAUGACCACAAGCUGCAGAAUGGACUGUGGCUGCAGUCUCAUUGAGGGAAGGAUGGGCUUGGUAGCUUACAUUUUAAGUGACAGGGAUAGUGGAGGGUUCUUCCCUCUGCCCCCAUUGACAUGUUUCUCAUCCCACAGGACUGUGUUUGGACCUGGCUUUGUUGGCUGAUGGGGCCUAUUACUUAAAUCAAUUAGGCUAUGUCUAGACUACAGGCUUCUUGCACAAGAAGCUUUUUUCAGA